UGGAAGGACUCUGAUUCCUGUGAAUCCACAGUUACUAAUGUAUCAAAAUCACUGUUUUUCUGGUAACAGAAUUGGCAAGGGAAGGGAUCCUGUGGGAACCUAUAAUUUUAAAAAGCAAUCUUCCUAUCUCUACAAUAAUCCUACUAACCAGAUGCUUUAUAGCAGAAAUCUCCCUAUUACAGGUAAUUUUCCAUUUCUAUCGAUUUUAUAUCACAUAUUAUCAAGAGUCCCAUCUCAGCCGAUCACGGUCUCCCUCGAAGCUCAUCCUGUGAGUGGCCACAUUCCUCACAGUUGCCCCACCUCUGAAUAAGGGAGUAUCACCCUCAGGAAACGGGGGUCUGUGGAGGGCAGCGUUCACUGCUUGGGCCCUGCCUACCUCCAAGAGGUACCCGGGUGCCAAGUGGUGUGCCUAGUCUGGGCCUUCCAGCUGUCACCUUGGACCAGCCACGUGUGGUGGGAUGUCACGCAUGCUGCCUCACUCUGGCUGCUGAGGACCUCGCACUGCCCCCACUGCGCGGGGACCCAGCCUUUGAGCCCCCACACCUUCAGCAGAUACUUUCUGUGCCAGGAGCUGGGACCACAGCAGCACACAGGAUAGAACUGGCCCUACUCUGUUCACCCCAAAAGCCUGCCCGGAGCCCAGGUGUUCACUAGCCCAGCCCAGGUCUGGGUGCUGCCAAGGAGCUGAGCUGGUUUCAGGCCCACACAGCCUGGCCCGGCCCUGUGUUAAUGCUGCACACCCCCACCCACCAGCACACCCUCUGCAAGCCUCCAGGCCAGGCCCAGUUCUGUGGACAGCAGACGUCAUCACUGUCAACAAAUGUGAGUGGCUCCCGAAUGGGUAGAUUUGGGAAUUGAGUGUCCAUAUUUCUCACCCAGAAAUAGGUUUUAGAGGUUCUGUCAUUCCUAUGAUUUGUGGUGUCCUCUGCUGAAACGGGGAAGUGUGGAGCAGUUGGCAGCAGCCAGCCUCCCCCACAUCCCAGCCCUCCAUCAUGCCGGUUGCUCCAAUAGAGGCUUUGACGGGCGUAGUUGCUGUACCCAAAUUUCCCAUUGCCUAGGAGAAAGAAACAGGCUCAGUCCUCAGCUCUGCUACCAGCUUGCUCCAGUGGCCCAUCGCCCAGUGAGGCACUGACAUCCCAGGACUCCUGUCCCUGUGGUGAGGGAGAAGGGUCCUAGCUUUGGGGCAGACACAUGUCACCCCCUGUGUGAUCUAACUGCACUCAGCGCUGGGAUCUUGAGUUGUCAAACUCGGAAAAGGUGAUGAGUGGCAAAAUGCUUCCAAAUGAUGCUGCUGGGCUGUGUGUGCCACCAGGUCAGUGCCAUAGAGUGGGAUGAGCUUGCAAGAGAAUCUGGCCCCUGAAGAUGAGGCUUCGAGCCAGAUAGAAGCAUGCAUGCGGUCGGGGGCUUCCAAGGGACUGCCACCGAGCCUGGUGGUAAGACUCGGUUGAAUAGGACAAACAGCCUGUCCUUGAGAUGCACAAUGUCCCCCCCGUUUUGUAAAACAAGGAAACAAAACAUACACACACAGCUUGUACAAAGCACAGAUGGGCACAAGAAGUGACAUGUUACACAGCAAACAUCUGGGAACGGUUACUUCCUAAUGACAGGGUUACUGUAUUUGGGUGUUUUCCACAUUUUCUUUGAUGUGUGGGGUAACCUGGACUAUUUGGUGGGGUAUUCUGUCCCUGGAGAACAUGUGGCUUGAGUCUGACCCAGGUGGUGAAGGCUGCCUCCAGGCGGAACAUUCUGGAUCUUUCUGUAGCCUCUCCUGGAACAGACAGGACUGAUGUCCAAUCAGAGCCAUGGCCUUGCAGGGCAGUUCCACCCACCCUAAGGAGGGAGCUGCUACAAUUUUUAGCCAGGGAGUUCUCAUAGUAACCCAUGUACCUUAUUUUUUGCAAUCAUGAAAUUGUAUGUUUCUAAUAAAGGUGUAGAUAAGUCAACUUGAAAGCUGAAAUGAAGGGCAUGUUUUGCUCUCUUCACCCUUUUCCCCUGAAAAAGAGGGAGGCCAGUGAGUGUCCCAGACUUUGGGCCAAUCAAGGGGAAUUGGAUCAAGUGUCUCCGGGAACAAAGGUUUCUGAGAGCUGGAAGCAGAAGCCUCCAUCUGGCCUUCUGUUUGUAUGGAUCACAGUAACAUCAUUACAAGUAAAGCCUUGCUUGUCACGGAGUCUGGGCCAGUGUCAGUGCUUCCAGCGGGGUUCCCAGCUAGAGGAACCGGCUCCCAGGACGCCCAGGCCCCUCAGGACCAACACUAGUCAGCAGCAUCAUGAUGCCAGGAGCAGUGCCCAGCAGUCUGCCCAAGCCGUUACCCCCUCCACCUGCCUUCCGACGGCAGCUUUGCCCAACCCCACUACCCAUCCUAGGCCCCUCCUGUCCCCGUCCCGCCCCACCAAGCUCAGCUCCCUGAGCACCACAGCCUACAGCUUCCUCUUGGCUGCUGCUUCCAGCACCAUCCGGCAGCUCUGCAGGAAAGGCUUACGUGGAUUUGCUGAGCGGAUGAAUAAAUGAACUGCAAUGGUAAAAGGCCAGCGCAGGUGUCCCCAGGGGUCCAGAGUCUUCUGCAGGCAAGAAAUCAUGCCAUUGGGAUGUUUCAUAUUCCCAGGGUGCUUUGCUUUUCUGGGCUUGGGACUGAUCAGGCUCUGAGAUUCCUGCUGGGGCUGGAUGCAGGCAGGCCAUCACCCACUGAUGCCCAGUGCCCCAGCCAGCACUCCCUGUGAUGACCAAGACCCAGAAUCUGCCCUUCACACCACCUAGUCCAAGCAGGUCCAGCCAGGGACCUGGGGAGCUGCCCUCCUCCCAGGCAGGGUGGAUGCCACUUGCCCAUACUCAGGAGCACACACUCCUUUGCUCUGGAUCCAUCCACCCACUCACCCAUCUCUUCAUCUACCAACGCAUGCAUUCAUUCAGUCGAUUCUUAGCAAAGGGCUCAGCCUGGGACUGCCCACUUCACCUCCCUCUAGCUGGGCGACCCCCCAGUGAAGCCCCACCUCCCCAACCGCCAUUGCUCACCUGAUAGGACCCUCCCUCUCCCGGGGCUGCUGAGAUGAGGCGUGGUUAGUGGCUGUACAUUGUAAAGGCCACUAAAUGUCAUUAUCUUAAUU
Long non-coding RNA from Pipistrellus kuhlii (Kuhl's pipistrelle), 3101 nucleotides. RefSeq lists it as uncharacterized. The record is from RefSeq and is a predicted model, not a curated record. The transcript has 3 exons. NCBI's taxonomy places the organism in Eukaryota, Metazoa, Chordata, Mammalia, Chiroptera, Vespertilionidae.